Mesocricetus auratus (golden hamster) is the source of this 452-nucleotide long non-coding RNA. RefSeq lists it as uncharacterized. The transcript is spliced from 2 exons. The record is from RefSeq and is a predicted model, not a curated record. Lineage: Eukaryota; Metazoa; Chordata; Mammalia; Rodentia; Cricetidae.
ACAUGAGCCUCACCUGCACCCAUCACCCAGGGUCCCAAUGCCACCUCCUGCUCUAGCUGUCAUGCAUGCGUCUUCCAAGGAACUCCAAGCCAUGCCUUCUUGAGUCCUGGUGUCGUGAGAGACCCUAGAUCCUCACAGGGAUUGAUUUACAACAGAACUGGCCGAGGAAGGGAAGGAUACUGGAUGCUGCCUCUACUCUAUGUGGGAGAAUUCCACUGCCCUUCCAAAAGGCACUCCACUUUGCCGUGGGAACUCCCACCUGCCCAUCACCUUUGCAAAGCCAGUGUUUUCCCAGGUACACGAAGGAAGUCACAGAUGACACAACUGUGGCUGUAACAUGAACCUCAUAAAUCAUUUACAAGACUCUCUGCAACAUCAGUGAUUUUUUUUAAUUCCAGAAUAAUCCCAGCGCCUGUUUCCUCAACUGUAAUAAAACAUCCACCUUGAUUCCA